GGUGAAAUUCUUGGACCGUCGCAAGACGGACAGAAGCGAAAGCAUUUGCCAAAAACGUUUUCAUUGAUCAAGAACGAAAGUUAGAGGUUCGAAGGCGAUCAGAUACCGCCCUAGUUCUAACCAUAAACGAUGCCAGCUAGCGAUCCGCCGACGUUCCUCCGAUGACUCGGCGGGCAGCUUCCGGGAAACCAAAGCUUUUGGGUUCCGGGGGAAGUAUGGUUGCAAAGCUGAAACUUAAAGGAAUUGACGGAAGGGCACCACCAGGAGUGGAGCCUGCGGCUUAAUUUGACUCAACACGGGAAACCUCACCAGGCCCGGACACCGGAAGGAUUGACAGAUUGAGAGCUCUUUCUUGAUUCGGU
This 362-nucleotide ribosomal RNA is filed under the name Plateros sp. UPOL A00475. RNAcentral's name for it is "SSU rRNA". It matches the Rfam family "Eukaryotic small subunit ribosomal RNA", at positions 910 to 1271 of the family's 1831-position model. Lineage: Eukaryota; Metazoa; Arthropoda; Insecta; Coleoptera; Lycidae. The record is from RNAcentral.